Molecule: unclassified non-coding RNA, 2357 nt
Filed under: Hevea brasiliensis (rubber tree)
Lineage: Eukaryota; Viridiplantae; Streptophyta; Magnoliopsida; Malpighiales; Euphorbiaceae
Source: RNAcentral
CUUCUUGGAGGUGAAUUUGCAUGAAGAUCAAGCUUUUCCCUUGAGUUGGGACCUCCAUGGUCUAAUGCUCCAACAACAUGGCUUAGAUUGCCUUAGCCCUUGAUCUUGUAAAAGCUCCCUUGAAUUGAGGUGCCUCUAGAUCCAUUAUGAUGUCCUCAUCACUUUGCUUGUUAAAGAUUUAUUGAUAGAAUUUGAUUUCAUCAGCAAGCUCAACAUCUUCAAAUCCUUCCUACCGGCUUAAAACAUAAAAAGUCUUUUAAAACCUUCACCACUGUUCCAAAAUUGUUCUCCUUGUUUGAAGUUCCAGAAGAGUUUGCCGAAUACAAGGAGCUGCUCAUGCCAUCCUGUGCAGAAUCCCAUGCUGACUUCUCUCAUCUAGCACCUCUAUGGAAAAAUAAAGAUUUCUUUAUUAAGCUCCCUUUUAAGCUUAAUAAGCAUGUCAACCCUACAAAUGCAACUCAUCCAGAAAUGACUCCAACAGACCUCCUGCUAGCUCAACAGGAAUGUCAACAGCUGCUUCAACAAGGUCUUAUUGAACCCACUAGUUCAGGAUGAGCCUGUUAAGCUUUUUAUGUUGAAAAAAGAUUGGAAAGGAUUUGAGGAAAAAAAAGACUGGUCAUUGACUAUAAGCCCUUAAAUCAUUUCUUAAUGGAUGACAAAUUUCCACUUCUCAAGAUCAAUUCUCUGUUCACUCAUUUACAAGAAGCACAUAUCUUCUCAAAGUUCAAUCUUAAAGCAAGAUUUUAGCAGUUAGGAAUUGAUCCAACAGAAAGAUGCAAGACAACAUUUUGUAUUCCUAAUGCUCAAUAUCAGUUGACCGUAAUGCCUUUUGGGCUCAAAGUUGCCUCUUCACUAUUCCAAAAGGCAUGGUUCGAAUCAUUGAGCCUAUUCUCUAUAUUGCCCUGAUCUACAUUAAUGAUAUUUGCUAUUUUAAAAAAUAGUUCAGCCCAUAAACAACUCCUAGCCCAAUUUUAUUCUUUGGUCCAAUAAUAUUAGAUUAUGCUAUCUAAAAAGAAGAGCUACCUAGUCCAAACUGAUAUUUAAUUUCUUUGAAUAAAAUUUGAAAAUGGGAUGUACCACCCUGAACGUCAUAUUGCCCAAGAAUUGCUCAAAUUCCCAGAUGCAAAUCUCACUGUCAAACAAAUUCAGCAAUUUCUUAGAAUUAUCAACUAUCUCAAAGACUUUAUCCCUUAUGUGUCCAAAUAAACUAGUUAGCUUUCCAAGAUGCUAAAAAAGAAGCCCCCCACUUGGGGUAAUGAACAGACCACAGCCGUAAAGGUUUCAAAGAAAAUAGCUUAAAACCCCCCUCCUCUAAAAAUUCUAAGAACAGGAAAAAGAAAUUCUUCAGACUGAUGCCAGUUAUGAAUAUUGGGGUGCUAUUUUACUUGAAGAACUCGAUGAAAAGCGACAAAUUUGUGGUCAUGCAAGUGGACAAUUCAAAGAAUCUGAAAAGCACUAUCACAUGAUCUACAAGGAGAUCUUGGCCAUUAAGAAUAGAAUCAAGAAAUUUGAGUUUCAUCUUAUCGGCCAUUGUUUUCUGAUAGUGAUGGACAAUUCUUCUUUUCCAAAGGUCCUUCAUUUCAAAAAUAAGACUCUUCUAGAACCACAAUUAUUGAGGCUCAAAAGCUGAUUUGAUAAAUAUGACUACACUGUCCAACAUAUAAAAGGGCAUCUCAACCUCAUCCCAAAUCUCCUCACCAGACCACCGAAUAUUUCUUUACUCACUUCUCUUUAGACAAUUUCUCUCAUCUUUAUGGUAGACUCCUCCAGCUCCUCUAAAGCUCCGAUACCACAGUUCCUCAUUCCAGCAAUAGAAACAUUUCCACCCGGAUGCACAUCAACAAUGACCCUGUUCCAAAUUAUUGAAUUUGCAAAAAAUCAUUUAUUCCAUUUUCAAAACCUAUCCAAUGUCCUCAGAUAAUAUAAAGACAACCACACUCAGUUUCGUCCAGACGCUUCAUUCCUCACGGUUUUCUGUUUUAGUCCUUCAGAGGACCUGCUCUUUGAAGAAAAAUGGUUCUUAUGGUGUAUGACUACUCUCUAUGCCAUUGGUUUUGAAGUUCCCACUAUACUCAUGUACUAUUUCCUUAAUGACAGGAGCAACCAGAAAAAAAAUCAUCUGAAACUUUCUUGACUAGUUCCUGCCAAUUCCUCAAUGGUGCAAUGAUCUAAAAAAGAUCAUCAAUCAUUAUGGUCUAUGGCAUAGAUCAUCAUACGAUCGUAAGGAAUUUUGCUCACUGUUCAUCAUGUAUUGACCUUUCUUUAGAAAUCCUGAAGGGAUACUCUGGACUCAAAAUUCAGUCUAUGAAUACCUGACUUAUUUCAAGUUUAUCACCACAAGAGAUACGUCCGCCAUC